RNAcentral lists this ribosomal RNA (736 nucleotides) under Psychrobacter sp. D22-2C. RNAcentral describes it as "bacterial SSU rRNA". It matches the Rfam family "Bacterial small subunit ribosomal RNA", at positions 379 to 1107 of the family's 1533-position model. Lineage: Bacteria; Pseudomonadati; Pseudomonadota; Gammaproteobacteria; Moraxellales; Moraxellaceae. The record is from RNAcentral.
AACCCUGAUCCAGCCAUGCCGCGUGUGUGAAGAAGGCCUUUUGGUUGUAAAGCACUUUAAGCAGUGAAGAAGACUCUUCGGUUAAUACCCGGAGACGAUGACAUUAGCUGCAGAAUAAGCACCGGCUAACUCUGUGCCAGCAGCCGCGGUAAUACAGAGGGUGCAAGCGUUAAUCGGAAUUACUGGGCGUAAAGCGAGCGUAGGUGGCUUGAUAAGUCAGAUGUGAAAUCCCCGGGCUUAACCUGGGAACUGCAUCUGAAACUGUUAGGCUAGAGUAGGUGAGAGGGAAGUAGAAUUUCAGGUGUAGCGGUGAAAUGCGUAGAGAUCUGAAGGAAUACCGAUGGCGAAGGCAGCUUCCUGGCAUCAUACUGACACUGAGGCUCGAAAGCGUGGGUAGCAAACAGGAUUAGAUACCCUGGUAGUCCACGCCGUAAACGAUGUCUACUAGUCGUUGGGUCCCUUGAGGACUUAGUGACGCAGCUAACGCAAUAAGUAGACCGCCUGGGGAGUACGGCCGCAAGGUUAAAACUCAAAUGAAUUGACGGGGGCCCGCACAAGCGGUGGAGCAUGUGGUUUAAUUCGAUGCAACGCGAAGAACCUUACCUGGUCUUGACAUAUCUAGAAUCCUGCAGAGAUGCGGGAGUGCCUUCGGGAAUUAGAAUACAGGUGCUGCAUGGCUGUCGUCAGCUCGUGUCGUGAGAUGUUGGGUUAAGUCCCGCAACGAGCGCAACCCUUG